RNAcentral lists this unclassified non-coding RNA (224 nucleotides) under Hevea brasiliensis (rubber tree). Lineage: Eukaryota; Viridiplantae; Streptophyta; Magnoliopsida; Malpighiales; Euphorbiaceae. The record is from RNAcentral.
GUUGCUCGAUGUCUGUGACACCAGCCAGAAAUCCAAACAGACAGAGACGAUCAAGUGCUCCCUUCAGACUGGAACAGGUAACUUGUCCCUUCUGAAGUUGUAAAAAUGCUGAAUAGAUGUUUAAAAAAGAAAAUAUUUUUCUUAUUCUCCUCAACCACGACGGACACCUGCACAAAUCACUACCACUCGAACAUGGAUCAGAUACAUUGUUGUUUCUGUUGGCU